This 253-nucleotide ribosomal RNA is filed under the name uncultured bacterium. Its description in RNAcentral is "partial 16S ribosomal RNA". It matches the Rfam family "Bacterial small subunit ribosomal RNA", at positions 524 to 776 of the family's 1533-position model. The record is from RNAcentral.
UACAGAGGUGGCAAGCGUUGUUCGGAAUUACUGGGCGUAAAGGGCGCGUAGGCGGCCUUCUAAGUCAGACGUGAAAUCCCCCGGCUUAACCUGGGAACUGCGUCUGAUACUGGGAGGCUUGAGUAUGGGAGAGGGAUGUAGAAUUCCAGGUGUAGCGGUGAAAUGCGUAGAUAUCUGGAGGAAUACCGGUGGCGAAGGCGGCGACCUGGUCCAUUACUGACGCUGAGGCGCGACAGCGUGGGGAGCAAACAGG